This 1481-nucleotide long non-coding RNA is filed under the name Mustela putorius furo (domestic ferret). Its description in RNAcentral is "lncRNA (ENSMPUG00000024376.1)". Lineage: Eukaryota; Metazoa; Chordata; Mammalia; Carnivora; Mustelidae. The record is from RNAcentral.
CUUGACACGACACAUUUAUUUCUCACUCCCACCAAUCAAGACAGGUCACAGAACCCACCAAGAAAUGAUUUAGGAACCCAGGAUCCUUCAUCUGGGUACCAUCUUUGAAAUGUUCACCAAGUUCUCCAAGUUCACCACCUGAGGAUAAAAGGAAUGAUCCAGCUUGAGGACAGGUUGUGAGGGUAGGCCAUUCACAGACUGUCAGUACCACAGCUGAUGGAAAGCUGAUUGGGCACUUGUCCAGCUGUGUGCCUGACAGAGAACAAAGGCAGUAUUAUGAAGCGCUAGCAGACUUGGCCAGACUCUCAGGCACCUGAGCAUUCUUCCUCCUGUGCCUAGAACACUCUCAGGACCUCCCUGAGGCAGGGCGGGGUAGGGGGGGAUGCUCCCAGAAUUCCGCAGUCAGUGCCUCCAAUUCAAGUACUGGGACCCCCAGGUGAUUCCCCUCCAUCAGGCCUGGUGUGCCCUCACUUGGUGCUGCAGCCUAAAAAAUGAGAGAGCUGCUUUUGCUACGGUUACUGAAUCAUGAGGCUUACAAUCUGCCUCCAAAGGCAUUGCAGGUUUUCCAUUUUUAAGUAUCACUUCUCAGCCCAGGAUGGAGGACAGAAACAGUGCUACAAGAAACAGAAACAAAGAGCACCUGGCCGGUAUUCCAUGAUGACAACAAGAGAAUACUCAGGGAGGGAGGAAGGCAAGGCAAAAGGACUCGAUCUUCUGUUUUUCUUUUGCCUGGUUUAUCCAAUGCCUUAGGCAGCAAGCACCAAUCUAACAUUCAGCUUGGCAUUGUUUUAAGCACAAAUCUUUGCUUAAGCAAUGAGUGUUCCUUGUAGGUUUUGAAUAUGAACACAUAAGUAGGAGUGCAUUUAUUUUAACUCAUUUGAUGAUGAGUUUACUGGAAGCCGAAGAUCUGGUGUCUGUGAAAACCUUAGAAAAUGAUUUGCAAUAACUCUUCAGAUGAAUGCAAAUACAUGAAAAGAAAAGCAGUUGAAGGUCGUCACACAAAGAGCCAGCACAAGCAGCAACCAUUAAGAACAGGCAUCUAUUUUAAUUUCUCAGGUGUGCGUUGAUGAGGAGAAUUAGAACUGUUUUAAUUGCUAAUCUCUCAGAGGAAGGAACACACCAUGUUAAUUAAAUUCACUGAUGAUAGAAAAAGUGGGGGUGGAUUAAUCACUUCUAAUGGCAGAACAAUUUUCUUUAAAAGCCAGCUUUACAAAUAAGAACUGGAAUUCACCAAAAGAGAACUCUGCUCUUAAAGAAUGUGCAUGUGCACGUGCGUGUGCACACACACACACACAGCCUAACUACCCACGGAGCAUAAAUUGCAAGCUGUACACUUUUUAAAUCAUUUCAAGAGGUGCAAUAACCACCCCAGAACGGCAUCUCUAAUUCACUUUCUGAGCAAAGAUGUAGCAAGUACUUGCUACAUGCACAAAGCUGCAGUAUGAAUAAUAAAAGAAAUUAAAUAAAUGUAGCUCUUCAAC